GACGAACGCUGGCGGCGUGCUUAACACAUGCAAGUCGAACGGAAAGGCCUGCUUUCCCUUGUGGAUUGCGGGUACUCGAGUGGCGAACGGGUGAGUAACACGUGAGUGAUCUGCCCCCAACUUGGGUAUAAGCCUGGGAAACUGGGUCUAAUUCCCGAUAGGACUGCAGGGUGGUGCCUGUGGUGGAACACGAUUUUCUAGUGGUUGGGGAUGAGCUCGCGGCCUAUCAGCUUGUUGGUGGGGUAAUGGCCUACCAAGGCGGCGACGGGUAGCCGGCCUGUGAGGGUCGACGGCCACAUUGGGACUGGGACACGGCCCAGACUCCUACGGGAGGCAGCAGUUGGGAAUAUUGCACAAUGGGCGGAAGCCUGAUGCAGCGACGCCGCGUGGGGGAUGACGGCCUUCGGGUUGUAAACUCCUUUCGACCGAGAGGAAGCCACCUGGUUGGAAGGGUGGUGACGGUAGUGGUAGAAGAAGCACCGGCUAACUACGUG
RNAcentral lists this ribosomal RNA (494 nucleotides) under uncultured bacterium. RNAcentral describes it as "partial 16S ribosomal RNA". It matches the Rfam family "Bacterial small subunit ribosomal RNA", at positions 28 to 507 of the family's 1533-position model. The record is from RNAcentral.